Molecule: long non-coding RNA, 1016 nt
Organism: Rhincodon typus (whale shark)
Lineage: Eukaryota; Metazoa; Chordata; Chondrichthyes; Orectolobiformes; Rhincodontidae
Exons: 2
Source: RefSeq, a predicted model, not a curated record
AGUGCCAUAUUAUGCAAGACACAACAGACAACAAUCCCUGACACUGUCGGUGGCACACGUCAGUUCUGCCAAGCCAGUCAAGGCAUUGAGGUUAUUGGAAUCUUUCUAUUUCGAUGCACGUGACAUCCUUGUGCUUCUUGAAGAUAUGUUUCACCCUUGCCAUCGAAACAUGUGGGAACACAAUUCGUUCUAACUGUAUGGAUGCUUUGACGUCAUUGAGGAAUGGAUUUGUAAUUUUACAACGUCAAUUGAGUUUUUUAAAACUUAAUCUAUUAUAGAUUUGAUUUGGUUGUCUGAACUAUAUUGCACAUUAGGACAACUUUCUAAAUGUCAAAAGUUUACUAUUCAAUGUUUGACAUAAAUAUGUUGCAUUUCUGGAACACACUUAUGCAAAAAUUUAAAUCAGUUUCAGCCCGAAUUGGGCCAAUGAGAGUUGUAGCAACAGCUUCCCUUGUACAGUACUCACAGCACAAUCCCUUUCUCUAACACCUUGAUAUUGGAAAUGUUGAAGAUUAAAAUUACCAACAAUUCCAUCUACUUUCAAAAUCAAACAUUAAGGACUCUAAUCAGAUGUACUUGGGACACUUGUAUUAAGUGCACUUGGCAACAGACUUUUUAACACCACAAUAAAUUAAUUUUUUUUAAUAGCUCUUUAAUAUUCUAAUACUGUUGAGCUAUCCGCUCUAUGGAAAAACAAAUGGAUGUGGGCAGGGGAACUUAGAUUUUCGAGAGUCUGGAAACACUAAUUCUCAAGACUAUACAAAUAUUACUUUUUAAGUAAAAGAAUAAUUCAUUAAAGAAUAUGUUGACACUUGCAUUUUGUGAAUAACUGCUAAUCUACAAUGUAAGGUACACCUAAUUUGCAGUUUAAGUUUGCGUUCAGAUUUUAAUUUACUUGGAGAAUGUAAUUAAUUCUGAAAAGAUGACAGAGUCCCUUUGAACACACUAACUUUUCUGUUACCCUAUCUAUGUUGCCUUAAAUGGAAAUCUUAACAAUAAACUUGAUGUUAGCCUUA